This 253-nucleotide ribosomal RNA is filed under the name uncultured bacterium. Its description in RNAcentral is "partial 16S ribosomal RNA". It matches the Rfam family "Bacterial small subunit ribosomal RNA", at positions 524 to 776 of the family's 1533-position model. The record is from RNAcentral.
UACGGAGGGUGCAAGCGUUAUCCGGAUUCACUGGGUUUAAAGGGUGUGUAGGCGGGUAUUUAAGUCAGUGGUGAAAUCUCCAGGCUCAACCUGGAAACUGCCAUUGAUACUAUUUAUCUUGAAUAUUGUUGAGGUAGGCGGAAUAUGUCAUGUAGCGGUGAAGUGCUUAGAUAUGACAUAGAACACCGAUUGCGAAGGCAGCUUGCUAAACAAUUAUUGACGCUGAGGCACGAAAGCGUGGGGAUCAAACAGG